CCUACGGGAGGCAGCAGUGGGGAAUAUUGGACAAUGGGCGAAAGCCUGAUCCAGCAAUGCCGCGUGAGUGAUGAAGGCCUUAGGGUUGUAAAGCUCUUUUACCAGGGAUGAUAAUGACAGUACCUGGAGAAUAAGCUCCGGCUAACUCCGUGCCAGCAGCCGCGGUAAUACGGAGGGAGCUAGCGUUGUUCGGAAUUACUGGGCGUAAAGCGUACGUAGGCGGUUAUUCAAGUCAGAGGUGAAAGCCUGGAGCUCAACUCCAGAACUGCCUUUGAAACUAGAUAGCUAGAAUCUUGGAGAGGUGAGUGGAAUUCCGAGUGUAGAGGUGAAAUUCGUAGAUAUUCGGAAGAACACCAGUGGCGAAGGCGACUCACUGGACAAGUAUUGACGCUGAGGUACGAAAGCGUGGGGAGCAAACAGGAUUAGAUACCCUGGUAGUCCACGCCGUAAACGAUGAUAACUAGCUGUUCGGGCUCUACGAGCUUGUAGUGGCGCAGCUACGACAUUAAGUUAGUCCGUCCGUCGGGAGGUACGGUCGGCGAAGAAGUUAAACGUUAACUAAAUUAGUUAAGUUAGUUACGGCGUGAGACGUUGCCGAACGGACGACCGACCGAGGGGAGGUUAGG
This 626-nucleotide ribosomal RNA is filed under the name uncultured bacterium. RNAcentral's name for it is "bacterial SSU rRNA". The stretch from base 1 to 520 matches the Rfam family "Bacterial small subunit ribosomal RNA", at positions 338 to 873 of the family's 1533-position model. The record is from RNAcentral.